RNAcentral lists this ribosomal RNA (637 nucleotides) under Talaromyces assiutensis. RNAcentral's name for it is "eukaryotic LSU rRNA". The stretch from base 180 to 333 matches the Rfam family "5.8S ribosomal RNA". Lineage: Eukaryota; Fungi; Ascomycota; Eurotiomycetes; Eurotiales; Trichocomaceae. The record is from RNAcentral.
AUGUCGGGCCGCUCUGGGCCCACCUCCCACCCGUGUCUCUUGCGUACUUUGUUGCUUUGGCGGGCCCACUGGGUCACUCCGGUCGCCGGGGAGCGCGAUGCUCCCGGGCCCGUGCCCGCCAGAGCACCCCUGUGAACCCUGAUGAAGAGAGGCUGUCUGAGUCCCACGAUAAUCGUUAAAACUUUCAACAAUGGAUCUCUUGGUUCCGGCAUCGAUGAAGAACGCAGCGAAAUGCGAUAAGUAAUGUGAAUUGCAGAAUUCCGUGAAUCAUCGAAUCUUUGAACGCACAUUGCGCCCCCUGGCAUUCCGGGGGGCAUGCCUGUCCGAGCGUCAUUUCUGCCCUCAAGCGCGGCUUGUGUGUUGGGCGUGGUCCCCCUGGCUUUGGCGGGGACCUGCCCGAAAGGCAGCGGCGACGUCCCGCCUAGUCCUCGAGCGUAUGGGGCUCUGUCACGCGCUCGGGAGGGACUGGUGGGCGUUGGUCACCCCUUAUUCUUUCUACGGUUGACCUCGGAUCAGGUAGGAGUUACCCGCUGAACUUAAGCAUAUCAAUAAGGGGGGGAGGAAUUCUCCCGAGUGCGGGCCCCUCUCUGGGCCCAACCCCCACCGUGUUCUCUGGCGUACUUUGCUGCUUUGGCGG